Molecule: ribosomal RNA, 443 nt
Filed under: uncultured Vampirovibrio sp.
Lineage: Bacteria; Bacillati; Candidatus Melainabacteria; Vampirovibriophyceae; Vampirovibrionales; Vampirovibrionaceae
Description: bacterial SSU rRNA
Rfam family: Bacterial small subunit ribosomal RNA
Source: RNAcentral
CCUACGGGUGGCUGCAGUGGGGAAUUUUGCGCAAUGGGCGAAAGCCUGACGUAGCGACACCGCGUGAGCGAAGAAGCCCCUUGGGGUGUAAAGCUCUGUCAGCUGGAACGAAAAAAAUGACGGUACCAGCAGAGGAAGCAUCGGCUAACUACGUGCCAGCAGCCGCGGUAAGACGUAGGAUGCAAGCGUUGUCCGGAUUUAUUGGGCGUAAAGAGUUCGUAGGUGGUUUGUUAAGUUUGGUGUUAAAGAUUGGGGCUCAACCCUGAAACUGCACUGAAUACUGGCAGACUCGAGUGUGGUAGAGGCUAGUGGAAUUCCCAGUGUAGCGGUGAAAUGCGUAGAUAUUGGGAAGAACACCGGUGGCGUAGGCGACUAGCUGGGCCAUAACUGACACUGAGGAACGAAAGCCAGGGGAGCGAAUGGGAUUAGAUACCCCGGUAGUC